AGACAAAGAGAGACGCGAAGCCUUGCUUUCCUUUGGGUUCUAGUUCGUUUCUCCAUGACGAGAAACCCCCCUCUCUGGAACUUUGUCGCCGCAUCAAGAUCGGCGGGUCCCCUGUGCACAUGUCCGCACCCCCACGGUCACGGAUAUGCCCAUGUGCCUGUUCACAAAGACAUAAAUAUUUGCAUAAAAGUAUAAACGUCGUUGUAGGGACAUGCAUUGAUAUUUGUACGUGGACGUCCUUGCACAGCUAUACAGAGACGCACAGAGAGAUAGAAAUGGACUUGCGUAGGAGGUAUGAAUCGAUAUACGUAAAACUGUAUUUGCAGAGCUCUACAUACACGUGUGCUUCUGUGUGUCCCUGCGUUUCAAAUCUGCAUGUAAGCCCAGACGUUUUGAGAGACAGUCUAUUUCGCUCGGUGAGGGGAAGCUCUGGCGACACAGAACAUUGGUGGUCUCUGUACAAAGAAUUGAGGGAGGUGUAGAGGGAUAAGUAGAGAGCAGGAUUUGUUCCAUAUCGGUACUGUCGUGUGUCAAAGUACCAUCUGCAACCGGUCCCUCUCCCUCCAGAAACGACAACGCACGAAUGACGGCUUGUAGACGCUGAACGAGGAAUUCGUUUCCCCGAAUCUUCAACGCGCGUUCCGUAACGUGACAGCAAAAAUUCGCGUGCUCAACAACGGCGAAGAAUAGACGACUCCGAUCGAUGAAACUUCCUCACAGGAAUCCCCUCAGCAGGGGACACCCGAGGCACUGAGGUGUACGCAAAAACAAGUGCUUCUCAACACUCUUCGUGCCCCUCCAAGGCUCUCUCUUCAUAUCGCGUCCCUGCCCUAGUAAGUUCCUGCGGGAGAAUACGUAGGCCGAUCUGUCUGUAGCAACGCAAAUGACUCGAUGGGGACCUAUAGAUACUUCGUAAUAUACACUCUAGCACCGAAGCCGAGGCUGCAUGAGUCGUCAUGCUGACGAUUUCAGCCACAGUCGCGUCACCGUAGGCAUGGCCGUGGCGACCAGAGACACACAGACGAGCAUGCAUUUAGACACCGAUUGGUUUCCAUCAUUUCGAAACUGCAUUCAUGUCCACAUGCUUCCACGUACUUACAGAUGUACAUACGCGCAUGCACACACCGGGCACUAGGGAAACUGUGCGGACGUGGCGGGACCUGACAGCUCGUAUCCCGGUGGCGAGCACCGCGCCUCCCAACUGUCUCGCUGACAAUACGACAAGCGUCAAAGCCUCUUUUGCACUUUUUCGAAUGACAUGGUA
This 1264-nucleotide long non-coding RNA is filed under the name Toxoplasma gondii VEG. Lineage: Eukaryota; Apicomplexa; Conoidasida; Eucoccidiorida; Sarcocystidae. The record is from RNAcentral.